GAACCAGAUUAAGAUUCCAAAAGCAAGUUCAAGCAAGUAAUGGUCCCAAAGGCCUUUUGUGCUAACCACAGUUUGUCAACAAAGCGGCAUGACCUUUCCAAGGGUCAAGAACUUAUUUAUUACGGGAACAUUUGUUUGAGAUUUGAGUUGGCUUCGGAGCUUGAGCAACAGUUGGCAUCACCGCAGUCCCUCCCUGAGAAUUAGCUACUCACAUCUCAAAAGGUGUGCAGGUCACUACAAGAUGAAUUUCCAAUGGUGGUACAACAGUGGAAACAGCAAGCAAUUUAAAACUUCAGGGAGAGCACAUCUUGCACAAGCUCUCAUGGUUCCAGAACACAUACUACACAUAUGGAAGCUCGUCAAUGCCUCCACUUACUGAUGAGGCUGAAAGCAGCUGGCCGAUGGACAUUUUUGGAAAUGGUUGUUUUUUUUAUACUUUCUAUAAGAUAUUAAUUUAAUUAAUGCAAGACCAAAAUUGUAGAUUUAAUCAUGACAGGAAAAAUAAACCAUAAUAUUUAUUUUUAACAAUACGUAUCAUUAUCAAAAUCAUAUUUUUCACGGUAUGUGGUGGUUCAUUCCCACUUACUGGAAGAAGGCAAAAUAGCAGUUACAAAUAUCUUUUCAUUUUUAAUUAGCUAAGUAUUAGUGCAUUAUACAUGUGUUAUAAUUGUCUUACUUAUGUCACUUAUUAACUGGGUUAUUUCUAUCUGAAGUAUCUUUUGCUAUCUGAAGUAUAAAGGUGAUAGAUUUCUCAAAGGCACCACCUUUCUCGCCUUCUUCUUUUCAUUAAAUCUAUUGAAUCUCUGCUUCUCAGCUCCUCACUUAGUUUCAUAUGCUCUGUGUCUAUGUUUAAACUUUAUGGUAAACGCUCGUGAAGAAUCAAUGAAACAAAGUUUCUCGCUCAUUCCUGUACUCCUAAAAGAACCCAGGGAUCAAAUAUUGCAGAGCUCUGACAACGUCAAUGCUCACAUCCUUCUGCAGAUGCACAGUAGAGGUCAUAUCCUAACAUGUUGAAUCGCUACAUGGUACAGAAACUGCACCGCUGUGGACAGGACAACUUUAUAACCGGUAGUCAAAACUGCCCAAUGCAUCACCUACACAAACCUACCCGCCAUAAAGGACAUAUAUACAGAAAGGUGCUGGAAAAGGGCCCAGUAACAUUAUGAAAGAUCCCACCCACUCUGCUCAUGGACUGUCUGUCUCAGUCCCAUCAAGGAGGAGGCUACAUAGCAUCCACACCAGGACCACCACACUCAAAAACAAUGACUUUCCCCAAGUAGUAAGGCUCCACCCACUAACUCAACCCUCCACACCCCCCCAACCACCACUACUUUAUUAUUUUCUGUCAGUCACUUUAUGUACAGUCACUCCUGUACUUAACGUCACUUUAUGGACAUACAGUCAAUCUAUGUUUGUAUAUAAGCUAUCUUACAUAUUUAUGUUUAUUGUGUUCUUUAUCUUAUUGUUAUUUUUGUGUUGCAUCAGAUCCAGAGUAAUAAUUAUUCUAUUCUUCUUUGCAUUUGCUUACUGGAAAAAGACAUUAAACUAUUCUGAACUUUAAAUGAAAUGGAAUUAGAAACAAUUUGUAUGUUAACAGUCAAUUACCUAUUUUUUGAUGCGUACGAGUCCAAUUUAAUUCUCUCAUU
Molecule: long non-coding RNA, 1646 nt
Organism: Hypanus sabinus (Atlantic stingray)
Lineage: Eukaryota; Metazoa; Chordata; Chondrichthyes; Myliobatiformes; Dasyatidae
Exons: 4
Source: RefSeq, a predicted model, not a curated record